This is a long non-coding RNA of Parasteatoda tepidariorum (common house spider), 1155 nucleotides long. The record is from RefSeq and is a predicted model, not a curated record. NCBI's taxonomy places the organism in Eukaryota, Metazoa, Arthropoda, Arachnida, Araneae, Theridiidae.
GAGAAAGGUGACAACCGCUCUUAUGAAUAUUUCUAUGAUCAAUUAUCAGUGGUCUCUGUAUCAUUCAGAAAUAUGAAGAGUAGAAUUACUAAGUUUGUUCCAAAAAUGGUGCCGAUUGACUUGUUUAGCAACAUUGGUGGAUUCUUAGGAAUUUGGAUUGGUUCAUCCGUCAUAUCGAUAUCUGAUUUAUUGUAUAGACUAUCUGAUUAUCUACUCAACCGCAUCCCAUAAGGCAUGAACUGAGCAGCAAUAUUUGUAUCAAAAAUGCAAAAAAUGAGCACAAAGUUUUUUUACAACAGCACUUUUCACUUGAUUGAUUUAUUACAAAAACUAUAUAAUUCUUUACCAAAAUACACGCUCUAUCGAAAGCAGAAUGAAACGUAAAGUGAAAAUUUGACAUUAAUUUUACAAUUAAAGUGCCAGACAGGAAGUAUGGAACAAAACUCACAUGUAGCUCUUUCAUUUAUGGAUGAUAUUCAUGCAGCACUUUUAUGUAUUUAUUUUCAGUAUAGAUUCAUUCAUUAUUCUAUUAAAUUUAAUAUUUAUCUGCAUCAGAAAGAAAAAGAGGGGGGGAAACUAGACAUUUAUAACUGCGUAAAAAAUAUUAUAAUUCCGAAUUAAGUAGAACAGCAGUUCCCAAAUAAUAUUUCGCGGAAUCAUAAGGCUCUAUGGAGGAUUUGAAGGGGUUCGAACUGUUAGGGCAUUUCUUCUAUAAGCUAUGAUUUUUGAAACCUGUAAUUAAAUUUAGUUUCUUUUAAUAGCCUCUUAUUUCUUUCAUAUUUUAAUUUUUUUAAACUAUUUAAUUAGCCUGCUUGCAAAGACAGAAAAGUAAAAAUUGAAAAAAAAAUCGCUUGGAGUUUUACUUAGGGAUCGCUUGGAGUUUUAGUUUUACUUAGAGUAAAAAUACAACGAAAAUCAACUAUAAUGUUAUAAAUACUGCCGAAAAAAUGUAAAAACAAAUACUUUAAGUCAAUUUUAUUAUCGAUAAAACAUUUUUAUCAAUUUCAUUAUCGAACUACUUUCAUUAUUGAAUGUUAAUUCAAAUCGCUUACUUGUUACUUCGAAUUAGUGAUUCGAAUCAGUAUUUGAUUCAAAUCAGUGAUACAAAUUAAGAAGUGAUUUAAGUCAUCAAAGUGAACUGAUUUGAUUGAUUCG